RNAcentral lists this long non-coding RNA (502 nucleotides) under Homo sapiens (human). RNAcentral's name for it is "long intergenic non-protein coding RNA 1766". The record is from RNAcentral. Lineage: Eukaryota; Metazoa; Chordata; Mammalia; Primates; Hominidae.
GAGAGUCUCGCUGUGUCACCCAGGCUGGAGUGCAGUGGCAGGAUCUUGGCUCACUUCAACCUCCACCUCCCGAGUUCUGCCUCAGCCUCCCAAGUAGCUGGGAUUACAGGUCCAGUCACUCCACGCUUGCAGAGUCCAAUUAACAAGAGCAAGUUCUGGUAGAAAGAAGGUGACUUUAUUCCAGAGCUCAGGUGUUUGAACUGAUGUCUGAUGAGGAUGAAUCCAGCGACUACCUCUGCCUGUCCAUCCUGGGCCUCUUCUGUUGCCUUCCCCUAGCCAUCCCAGCCGUGAUCUUUUCUUGCCUGACAAAGAACUACAAUAAAUCCAGUGACUAUGAGCUGGCAGCCAAGACCUCCAAACAAGCCUACUACUGGGCCAUCGCGAGCAUCACUGUGGGAAUCUUAGGUACCAUCUUGUACACCUACCUGAUAUACUUACUUAGAUUGUAAACUGCUUCCCAGCUCUUGAACAAACCACCAAAUAUACACCACAGUGCAAUUUA